RNAcentral lists this ribosomal RNA (253 nucleotides) under uncultured bacterium. RNAcentral describes it as "partial 16S ribosomal RNA". It matches the Rfam family "Bacterial small subunit ribosomal RNA", at positions 524 to 776 of the family's 1533-position model. The record is from RNAcentral.
GACAGAGGUGCCAAGCGUUAGGCGGAAUCACUGGGCUUAAAGGGGGUGUAGGCGGGCGAUCAAGGAGCUUGGGAAAUCCCACGGCUCAACCGUGGAACUGCUGGGUAUACUGGUUGUCUUGAGCCAGCUAGGGGCGAGCGGAACAGACGGUGGAGCGGUGAAAUGCGUAGAUAUCGUCUGGAACGCCGAAGGUGAAAACAGCUCGCUGGGGCUGCGCUGACGCUGAGACACGAAAGCCAGGGGAGCGAACGGG